Molecule: ribosomal RNA, 253 nt
Filed under: uncultured bacterium
Lineage: Bacteria
Description: partial 16S ribosomal RNA
Rfam family: Bacterial small subunit ribosomal RNA
Source: RNAcentral
UACGGGGGGGGCAAGCGUUGUUCGGAAUUACUGGGCGUAAAGGGCUCGUAGGCGGCCAACUAAGUCGGUUGUGAAAUCCCCAGGCUUAACCUGGGAACUGCAUCCGAUACUGGAUGGCUUGAAUCCGGGAGAGGGAUGCAGAAUUCCAGGUGUAGCGGUGAAAUGCGUAGAUAUCUGGAGGAAUACCGGUGGCGAAGGCGGCAUCCUGGACCGGCAUUGACGCUGAGGAGCGAAAGCUAGGGGAGCAAACGGG